UACGUAGGGUGCAAGCGUUAAUCGGAAUUACUGGGCGUAAAGCGUGCGCAGGCGGUUAUGUAAGACAGUUGUGAAAUCCCCGGGCUCAACCUGGGGAAUUGCAUCUGUGACUGCAUAGCUAGAGUACGGUAGAGGGGGAUGGAAUUCCGCGUGUAGUGGUGAAAUGCGUAGAGAUGCGGAGGAACACCAGUGGCGAAAGCGACUUUCUGGUCCUUAACUGACGCUGAGGCGCGAAAGCAUGGGGAGCGAACGGG
Molecule: ribosomal RNA, 254 nt
Filed under: uncultured bacterium
Lineage: Bacteria
Description: partial 16S ribosomal RNA
Rfam family: Bacterial small subunit ribosomal RNA
Source: RNAcentral